AACGUAGGACGCAAGCGUUAUCCGGAGUUACUGGGCGUAAAGCGCGGGCAGGCGGUUGCUCAAGUCUGAUGUGAAAUCUCCUCGCUCAACGGGGAGCAGCCAUUGGAAACUGGGUAACUGGAGUCUGGCAGAGGUAGGCGGAAUUCCGGGUGGAGUGGUGAAAUGCGUAGAGAUCCGGAGGAACACCAGAGGCGAAGGCGGCCUACUGGGCCAGUACUGACGCUGAGCCGCGAAAGCCAGGGGAGCGAACGGG
RNAcentral lists this ribosomal RNA (253 nucleotides) under uncultured bacterium. Its description in RNAcentral is "partial 16S ribosomal RNA". It matches the Rfam family "Bacterial small subunit ribosomal RNA", at positions 524 to 776 of the family's 1533-position model. The record is from RNAcentral.